RNAcentral lists this ribosomal RNA (468 nucleotides) under uncultured bacterium. Its description in RNAcentral is "partial 16S ribosomal RNA". It matches the Rfam family "Bacterial small subunit ribosomal RNA", at positions 28 to 507 of the family's 1533-position model. The record is from RNAcentral.
GAUGAACGCUGGCGGCGUGCUUAACACAUGCAAGUCGAACGGAAAGGCCAGUGCUUGCACUGGUACUCGAGUGGCGAACGGGUGAGUAACACGUGGGUGAUCUGCCCUGCACUUCGGGAUAAGCCUGGGGAACUGGGUCUAAUACCGGAUAGGACAAUGGUUUGGAUGCCGUUGUGGAAAGUUUUUUCGGUGUGGGAUGAGCUCGCGGCCUAUCAGCUUGUUGGUGGGGUAAUGGCCUACCAAGGCGUCGACGGGUAGCCGGCCUGAGAGGGUGUACGGCCACAUUGGGACUGAGAUACGGCCCAGACUCCUACGGGAGGCAGCAGUGGGGAAUAUUGCACAAUGGGCGCAAGCCUGAUGCAGCGACGCCGCGUGGGGGAUGACGGCCUUCGGGUUGUAAACUCCUUUCGCUAGGGACGAAGCGUAUUUGUGACGGUACCUGGAGAAGAAGCACCGGCUAACUACGUG